RNAcentral lists this transfer RNA (87 nucleotides) under Stachybotrys elegans. It matches the Rfam family "tRNA". From Rfam's summary of the family: Transfer RNA (tRNA) molecules are approximately 80 nucleotides in length. Their secondary structure includes four short double-helical elements and three loops (D, anti-codon, and T loops). Lineage: Eukaryota; Fungi; Ascomycota; Sordariomycetes; Hypocreales; Stachybotryaceae. The record is from Rfam by way of RNAcentral.
GCAGGAUUGGUGUAGUGGCUAUCACGUGUCGUUCACAAAGAUGAACUUUUCCCGACAAGGUCGCGAGUUCGAUCCUCGCAUCCUGUA